UUUUUUUUUUGAAAAGUUGUUGCUAGUUUUUUAGUUCUGAAAAGUCAACGCUAGCUUUUAAAAGAUGUGUUUAGGUUUAUGAGCUCAGAAUGCUAUGAAAAGCUCAUAAAACUGAGCUUUCCAACUUUCUAUAUAAAUUCAACUUUUCUGAGCUUCCAGCUUUUCAGAAGCCGUACAAAAAGUUCGUUAUUUGUUUAAGCUUUUAACUUUUCACGCUGAGAAGCUGCCAGGAAUGUCAAACAAAUAGUCAUAAAAAUACUUGCUGACCAAACAGAAAUCCUAAAAUAUGCUGCUAAUUUCUUACACUACAGAAAAACCACUAGUUCGGAGCAGCCAUGAAAAACAUUUUGCAGAAACAUGAUACGCAGGGGCAGGUAAUAUUCUAUAGCCAUAUAAUCGGUAUAUUUUACACAGGAUAUUCCCCCUGCAAAAAGGCAGAUUUUUGGAUAGUGCGGCGAGUAGUUUGGUUCUUGGCCGCAAUACCACCGAGGAGGCGAGGAUUGCACCACACGCCACCCAAGAAACGCUAACGAUUUCUUUAGCCCUCGUUGCCGGAGCACGCGAGCCGCAAAGCACCUGAGGUGGAUUAUUAACAUAAUCCUUUUUGGCUUAGCUUCCAGAAUCCAGGCAUGCACGCAGCAGGUGGCGAGACGCGCGUGUCCGCCACACAGUGUCCGUGACCUUUCGGAGACGGGGAGAGGCCGUUCCCCCGGCCAACUUGUCAAGGCGGCAAGGCCCGUGAGAGCGAUGGAUGGAUUAUACUAGAGGCUAAAGGACUAGGAGAAUAUUAUCGCUGUUUAUCCAUCGAUUUUGCCGAACCGCGUGAGAGCGUUAGAGCAAGAUAGGUAGGAUGCAGUAAGUUUUAUAAAUCAUCCACCCAACAAUUUUACUGCAACAUUAAUUUCAUGUGGAUUCUAUGCUCCAAACUUUAUCCUCUCCUCACGCCUCUUCUCUCUCUGACUCUCCCAUGACCAUGGUGUCACGGUCGGCACUACCCUGCUCCGGCCACCACUUCGGCUACCACGUCGCCCGCCGCCCAUAGCCAUGGCAUCGUGGUUGGUCCCCACCGUGCGUCGCCUCUCAUCUCCGCGCCACCACACCCUCUCUCCAGCCGGAGCCCGCCCGUCCUCCCCCACGCCUGCGCCAGCCGCCACCCACACCUCCGCUAGCAUCACCACCCCCCUCCUCCCGACCGGCGGCCACCCGUCCUCUCCUGCGAUGCGCACCGGCAGGCCACACCCCGAACUCCCUCCUCCCCACGCCUCGCACCUCCGCCUCCACACCCACCAGCCCUACUCCUCCCCUAUGGCACCAAGUUUAAGCUCCACCCAGGCAGACUCGCCCUCGGCGAUUCCCACAGCGGCGGUCUUUGCUCUACUCCCAUGGCCACAUGACCGAGCCCGCUCACUCCGCCUCGCCCUCGCCCGCCGUCGCCGUCGCCGUUGCCGUCUCCUCCUCCGGCACCACUCGUCCUCACCGACCUGUUACGCGUCGGCAGACAAGCGCCGUCCCUCCGACCCGCGGUGGCGCCGCCGAGGCCGUGCCCGAGCUCACGCUGCUCCUCUCGUCAGCCCUCCCUCCUCCGCGAUGGCUUGGUUGCACUCCGCUAUGCCCCUGCACUGCUGCACAACGGCGGACCGGCAGCUCCGUGCUUGGCUGGCCUCUACCUCCUCAUCCCCACUCACUUCUCAUGCCGGGAAUAGGGCGUCGCCGUGCCUUCUCGCGCCAGUGGUUGCGCCUCCUCCCGCAAGUCGCGGCCGUCGCAGGAAGCCGUGGAGCCCCCGUCCCCCCUCAUGUCCACGACGACAAGGUGCAGCCCGUCCUCCACUCCUUGCCGGUAGCAUGGUGUGCUCAUCGUCCCGCCUUGCGCUGCCGCCGACGCCUCGUCUCAUCUUGCAGCGCUGGUCGUGCCCAGCGGAGGAGCCGAGAGACUGCCGGAACGUAAGAUCGUGGUAGUGAGACGACCGAAGGAGAGAGAAGAUGGAACUGAUUGCUGAGCACUUGGUGGAGCUUACUUAGCAUGGGGAUGCGUGCUAGCAGCCCUUGCCAUUUCUAACAGCAGCACCUUCCCUCCUCGCUUCUCUCUACUACGUGGCUCCCUUGUAGAAAGGUUAACGGCACCAUUGCGGGUGCCCUGACGGGCAAGAGAGGCAUCGAGCCGCUGCGAUUCUUGCCUAUCAACUAGCAUUGACUUGUGCGGGUGGUGGUGGCCACAUUGGGAGGCUGCCAUCUCCCCGCGAUGCCACUGGCGUGAUGGAUGCCCCCGUCAAAUGAUGCGAAGAUUCUCCCUGAUUUAUAUAUGGUCCAUGACGAUCUCUAAUCCCUUUUAUCUCCACCGGAAAGAUGUCGUCGUGACGCCAGAAUGGUGUUGGUGUUGUGACGUGCGGAGCCCGUGAGUUUCUCGGCAAGGAGGCAGCGACCGAGCCCGGGAGAUUCGAUCUCGUGGCGUUCUUCCUGAUGGCUGGUGCGCCAGAGACACUGGCGUGGCAUCGUCUCUUGCCUCUACGUCGAGCUAGAGGCGUCCUCGGGUCUUUCCUCCUGGCCUCCUUGGGUGCCGGCGCUAUGCGUCUGAUCCGGACGGUGCGCGUGGAAGUAUUUGGAACGCCAUGACAGGUGCCGCCGCGCCACGCCGCGACCGCCGAUGGUCAAGCUGUGACCGACUCCGGCGGAGUCGGUUGUUUUCCGCGGUGAGAGGCACCGAUGAGCACGCAGGUCUUGGUGCGGCCCAGUGGUGGGUGCCCGUGCAGCGAAACGGCGAGCGGCCGGCGAGAGCGCGCGCGUAGGAGAGGGGAAACUGUUGACUUGCAAGUUGGAUGUGGUGCGACUAUGGGCUGCAGUGGACCGCGUCGCGUGUCGGGCGGGCUUCGCGCCUAUGUGUUUCUGUGGCGUGGGCCGGUGUUAUCUCCUUGUUGGAUCAGGAGUGCGCCGCCGAAGGUUGGUUGGGACUCGGGCAUCCAAAUAUUCCCAUUCCUUGGUUUUUUUUUUCCUCCUCUUCUUUUUUAACUGAAGCCGUGACAGAGCUGCGCAAUCGGUUUAUUCGGUUUUCAAAGUACAAACCGAAAUAAUCAGUUUGGUGUUUGUAGACAUGUCAAUAUUAUUGAUGUUUUUUCCAACACUUUUUUUAAUGUGCAUGGACCAAUGGUUUUCUUUCUUUUGUCAGGUUUUCACGUGGAAAUUUCCCAUAAAAAGCGCCUCAUCAAAUGGCACAAGCACAAAAAAUGAUCCGCUACAACGGGACCCGGCAGCUGGUAUUCGUCGUGUACUCGUGCGCACCAUAUAUUGUUGCAGUUGCAGCAAAAGAGAGAGCAUUUUCAUAAGAUAUUCUGCAUGGAUAUCGUGGCCAAAGUUUAGCCAAGGAUUAAGGGGACCCUCUCAAAGCUCACCCCGUCGCUCGCCACUUCCAUCUCUGAUUCGCUGUAUUAUUGGUCUAAGGUUCCGUUUGCUUCCACUGACUUAUUUUUAGCACCCGUCACAUCGAAUGUUUAGAUACUAAUUAGGAGUAUUAAACGUAGACUAUUUACAAAACUCAUUACAUAAGUGGAGGCUAAACGGCAAGACGAAUUUAUUAAGCCUAAUUAGUCCAUGAUUUGACAAUGUGUUGCUACAGUAAACAUUUACUAAUGAUGGAUUAAUUAGGCUUAAUAGAUUCGUCUCGCCGUUUAGCCUCCACUUAUGUAAUGGGUUUUCUAAAUAGUCUAUGUUUAAUACUCCUAAUUAGUAUCUAAACAUUCGAUGUGACACGUGCUAAAAAUAAGUCAGUGGAAGCAAACGCCCCCUAAGAAAAAUUGUUUGGGUGUGUUUGGUUUGAGGGUUGGAGUGGGUUGGGUUGGGUCGGGCCCAGUUGGCACAGUGUUUGGUUCAAAAUGCAGUGGGUUAGGUUCGUCCACGAUAAGAAAUAUACCGUGUAGAUGCGGGUUAGGAUGGUUUGCCCAAAACGAGCGGACCACGUCAACCAGGUGGCUUCCCACGCACACCGUCUCACUCGAUCGAUGGGGGCACAGGCGAGCGGCUCCAAGCAAGGAGCUGGCUGGUGGCGCGAGCGCGGCAAGGAGGAGCAAGGUGGCAUGGCUGGCGUGGGUAAGAGGCACGCGCACCUAUCCGAGCAAGGAGCUAGCCGGCGGCGUGCUCCAGCUCCUUCGGCGAAGGAAGGCCGCGCGUGCGAGGCCACGUUGCCGCCGCGUGGAGGCGCCCAUGCGGUCGGCGGCUCUGCUGAGGCUAGAGCUGGGGCGGCAGCAUAGCAGGGGAAGAAGAUAAGGUGGGUAAAAAAAGAAAAAGAGGAUGACAGAUGGGUCCCGACAUUGACAUGUGGGACCCGUUGUUAACGUUGUUAAAAUAGCAUCCAUUCUAUCCCUCGCAAUCCCUUCAACCAAAUAAAAAUUAGAACAUCCUCCUACCGAAAUACAAGAUGGGUUGAACUCGAUCCGUUCCAGUCGGUGCACAAACCCAUCCCACCCCACGUAAUGGAGACGGAAAGGGAGCAGUGCGAUUUGUUUAGGUCACCUGACGUCCUCCGUAGCUAGCGAGAACCCAACAAACUGGACAAUUUCUUUAUAGAAAAAGGCUAUGAGUCCCGAUGACUUGUUUAUCCAUCCAUGCCAUGCAAGAUGCAACACGCAGCGCCAGGGCUAGGUAGCAGAGUAGACAGAAGCCUAGGCCAGGGCGUGAGGCGGUGAGGGGAUGCUGGAUGCAUGAUGCAAAGGCCAUCCAAUCCAACACCAACGCUUACUUGCACAGUUGCACUCCAGUUCCGGUUCAGAGCGCCUGUGCCGCUGCUGCUGCAGUGUUGCUGCCGUGCCUGCUGCCACCCGCGCUUCCCAAGAAAAGCAAUUAUUCUAUGCGGGCACAGUGCCGCAUGUCAUUUCCGAGGCGAAAGCACGUUGUGCCACUGCCGCUGCGGGGACUGGGAGGGGAGAGGUUGCGGUGGUGGAGGUGGUGGUGAGAGGUGCGUGGUGACCGGUGGUGACAGCCGCGGCCGGCCGGAGCAGGAGGAGGUGGCCACUCGGAUUAGACAAACAAAAGGCACGAGGGGGAUGGGAUGGCAUCUCUCCUUGGAAGUGGCAAAUCCAGGGACGGAUCGUCAGAUCGGCCAUAUCUUAAGAGUGGAAAGAACAUAUGCUUAACGGGGAACCCCCACUACCUGACCCGGAUUAGGCUAGGAUCAAAAGGCCUUUAGCUUUGGGGUGCUUUGGCACUCAGGUGUGUGUGGCCCAUGCAUGCACCUUCACCUGACCUGCUGCUGCCAUAAUGCUUUGAUAUCCUGUCUAUCACUUGAUUGAGAGAUGUAUUAGCGACAUGAAGAAGGAGAUGAGGAAAGGCAUCGCGUUAAAAGCGGAACAUGGCACUACUGAAGUACUGAUCAGAGAAGGAUGAGAGCAAAGGCUUCCCAGUGUUGCAGUUGCUCUCAGAUGUCAGGCAGCCACAGCCCACAGGCUGAAAAAGAUGUCUACUAGGUACUGUGCUAGUAGUAUCAGUCUCCUCACUUGCGUAAUGAAAGGGUAAAAAAAUCGGUGCUAAAAAGGAAUUGAACGUAUUUAGGAAAUGGUAAUAUAAGCUGUCCCUUCUUAGCGACAAAAGGAACAAAGCACCUAAACUGGCCCCUCUUGGUCCCAUCAUAAGGUAGAGGGUACUCUCAGCUUUCUCCCGAUGACUCCGCUACUCAAAAAUCAACACGCCACAGCUCCAUUCCUACCAGUACCCCCGUCCUGCUCCAACGUCCCUCAAACCGCGGCUCUGGUGAAAGAUGCUUACAGCUCAUGAGCUGCAGAUACGAGUUAACGUGAUCUUGACUUGACAAGAGCGUGUCCUCCUUUUCACGUCGUCGAAAACAAGCACUCCUACAGCAAACAUAGAAACCGGAAUGUCCUUGGCAGCCUUUCCUCUAGCUCCCAUGCACACGCACCCUACAGGGAUGGAAUGGAUAUCUGAGCCCUGAAGCUUGUGCAUCCAAACUCCAGUUCUCCCCCUCGCUCCAUGAGUGGCAAUGAUCGCCCCUGCUUUACCCAUGAAGAUGAAGGCAUAGAGAAAGGCGGCACAUCAUGUUUUGCUCAGCCGGCAUGCAGAAUCAGAGCGCAAUAAUCUGCCCAUGCAGGCACCACUAGAGCCUAGAAAAAGAAAGCAGCGCCCUUUUUAAACGGGAGAACGCCGGCUGCUUUCUGCCGAGAAGGCGCCGAGCUGCAGUAGCCAGUGACGUGCAUGGAUUCCCUCCACGCAAAAAAGGGCGUGCAUGGAGCCCCCCCAGCUGUUAUUCUACUCGCCAAAGCGUACGUCAAAUCGGGCGCUGCAACCCCGAGGGCCAUGGAUAACUGAUCCCAGGUAACAUGGGCUUUUUACCCUGGGGAGAAGUGAAAAAAAAAAUUGGACAGGACAGCCUCAAGGAAGGACAGGCCGAUCGAUCAUGGCGUCGCCCAUGUCACCGCUGGCUAAUUGGCCGGUUGUUUAGUGCGCGGAUCAAGGCAAAAGCUAGGUUACGGUAGGGACAACUCAGCCCUAACAGGUGGUGUUAGGAGGGUGGGAAUCGUGGGAUGAUGACAAAACCUGUGCUGGAACUGGAAGGUUAUGCAGCAGAUGGGCAAAUCAUGGCCUGUCCAAGCUUUAGGAGGCGUACUCCAUCCAAGGAUGCAGGAUCUGGCACUGAUUAAUACUGCCACCACCUGCUUUCUUAGUUUAAUGGAGUACAUGGAAAGGCUAACCAUAUUCAUCCAGCAUCAAGAUAAGGCUACCUAUCCACCAGUCAUAUUUUAGGGCUACACAAGUGGAGCUAGCUACACUGUAAAUUAUUGUGAAAGACAUUUCAGCCUCCAUGGGUGCUGGGGAUUGACAAUGGUGCAAAGAACGACACUUUUCUGCAAGCUAGGAUAUCACUUCACUUCAAUUGCAUGUCAAAGGAAUAGUGGUACAUGUUAACACGGCUUAAUCGAUCAUCUGGGAUUAGAGAACAAAUAGGGUUCAACAUCUACCGACAUACAACACAUCUUCAAAGGUAUGGUCAUGCCCUCUAUAGCCCCCCACAUUGUCAAAUAUCGACAGCAUUCUUGGACGCAUCUACACCACGAGAGGCACACGGACGCCCGGCCGGCCACUUGUUUCUUCGACUGUCCUACACCCUAGUACAAUACAUGCUGACCACCCCUUCCAAGAGACAAGAC
RNAcentral lists this long non-coding RNA (7145 nucleotides) under Setaria viridis. Its description in RNAcentral is "long non-coding RNA (SVIR_LNC002793)". The record is from RNAcentral. Lineage: Eukaryota; Viridiplantae; Streptophyta; Magnoliopsida; Poales; Poaceae.